CACGGAGUUAGCCGGUGCUUAUUCCUCUGGUACCGUCAAGUGAUCAGGAAUGAUCUUUUUUCGUCCCAGAUAAAAGAAGUUUACAACCCAGAGGGCCGUCAUCCUUCACGCGGCAUGGCUGGUUCAGACUUUCGUCCAUUGACCAAUAUUCCUUACUGCUGCCUCCCGUAGGAGUCGGGCCCGUGUCUCAGUGCCCGUGUGACUGGUCGUGCUCUCACACCAGUUACUGAUCGUAGGCUUGGUGGGCCGUUACCCCGCCAACUACCUAAUCAGGCGCACGCCCAUCCAAAACCGCCGGAGCUAUAUUAAUAAAGUGAUGCCACUUCAUUAAGUUACGGUGUAUUAAUCCUCCUUUCGGAGGGCUAUUCACCAGUUAUGGGAAGGUUGCGUACGUGUUCCGCACCCGUUUGCCGGUCUCACAGCCGAGUAUUGCUACCAACUGAUCCCCUGACUUGCAUGUAUUAAGCCUGCCGCUAGCGUUCAUCCUGAGCCAGGAUCAAACUCU
RNAcentral lists this ribosomal RNA (505 nucleotides) under uncultured Ferruginibacter sp. Its description in RNAcentral is "partial 16S ribosomal RNA". The record is from RNAcentral. Lineage: Bacteria; Pseudomonadati; Bacteroidota; Chitinophagia; Chitinophagales; Chitinophagaceae.